This is an RNA transcript of Ipomoea triloba (trilobed morning glory), 1756 nucleotides long. RefSeq lists it as uncharacterized. The transcript has 7 exons. NCBI's taxonomy places the organism in Eukaryota, Viridiplantae, Streptophyta, Magnoliopsida, Solanales, Convolvulaceae. The record is from RefSeq and is a predicted model, not a curated record.
CCUAGUCGAGAGUCGAGACUAGUUAUUGACGAUUGUAAAACAGAAGAGGAACACGUCUGACGACUGCUACCGCUCCGCCCCCUCCCCCGCCCCCGCCGCGGGUUACGCCGUCGCGAAGGGAUUAUGAAGCGGAUGCAGUUAAGAAUAACUGAUCUAAACUAUGAUGUUUUGAAACAUGUAAUGUACUAUGUAGCCAUAUCUUCUGAUGGAGCCAAGAACCUUGCCAGGGUGGUAUCUGUUUGCAGGUUGUUUAAGGAAGUUGCCAAGGAUACGGACAUCUUGAAAGCUGUGACAUUUGAUGAUAUUAAGCUCUCUGCUAUCCAUGGGUCAUUUUGGCGACCUUCUGGCCUUUUAUGUACUUGUGUAGCAAAUGCAAAUCAGAGUGCUUCUGACAAAGUAACUGAUUAUGCAGAAAUGCUCAAUGCAACUCAUAAGGUCCUUAAAAGGGAUAUGUUCCGUGCAAAGAUGAUUCUCAUGGCAAGAAAUAGAGCUGUUGAAACUGUAAAUACAAGGGCGAGGAAGAAGGCCCUAGAUUCAGCAAUAGAUGUUGGAGUGCACAAAGACCUGUGAUGCUGUUGAUGCUCAACUACAAAGAACUGAGCAGUUCUUAGAGAUGCUCAAUGCAGUGCAGAGAGAGAAACUACUUCUUCCAGCAUGCAGUGGGAUAUCCAAGAAAUAUGCAAGCUAAAGAUGUCAUUCCCGAGGGUCAUUGUUUUUACUUCGAUUGUUGGCAGCAGAAGAUGACAUUGAAGAGGCCUAUCUCUCCUCAAAACAUAUAGCCAUGUAUGUAAUUUUGAGGCUGCUAGAGGAUUUUUGCUCUCGUUUGUUGUGCGAUUGUUCUAGUUUUCUACAUCAUAUGGUCUUAUCAAUUUUUCUAGAAUCCUGCCUUUUUCAUUUCCUUUCCUUUCAAGCUGCUAGCUUCAUAGAACCAGAUACAACUCAGCCGAGAAGUACUCAAGUGCGUGGCAUUGAAGAGAAACACAGUCAAUGAAACGGAACACUAAACUACAUACUACAGCCAUGAUAAAGCAGCUUAUGUUUGGGGACUAAUUUGGAAGUAUGAAGUACAAAAUCAAGAGAAUAGCAACAAUAAGAGCCGCAACUAUUGCUGCACUAAUAAUCCACUUCUUGUUUCUGCUCAUCCACCGUGAUAUCCUUCUCUCUUUGUUGUCGUCGACAUCAUGUAACUAGAAUGGGAAGAAGACAAGCUAAGCUGUGAGGUAAGUUUGUAUUUUCUCUAGAACAAAUCUCAACUAUCAAUCCAAAAAAGUAGAGUGAGCAUUAUAACUGUGAAUGAUGUCCUGUUCAGGCUAAACCACAAGGAACCAUAGCCAUGUUGAGCAUAUAUAAUAUAUAAACGUAAAUGUGCUGUCCAACUAUCAGCUUAGACUUUUAGUUGAGAUGUAGCACAAUCAGCACGCUUCAAUUAGCAAUAGGGGGAUACAUACAUAUACUUUAGGUAGUAAGAAGUGCAGGCAUACCGUUUUAUGAGCAUGAGCAUGCAAGAAUGGCUGCUGCGGCUGGGAUUCCAGAUCUUGAAGAAUUGGAACAUCAAGCUCUUCUGUGUCUAGAAUGGUUUCCCUAAUCUCAUGACUAGUCUGAUCAUGUGUUUCUGCUAGUGCCUAUUACAUUACAGUUACCAUCAGUGUCAUAAGCCAACGCUACAAGAGUGUUGGCAAAUAAAAUGGCAAUUGCCUAUGCAUAAAACAUACCGGUAAUGUGUCAACUUGAUUUGAGUUUGAGGUUUGUUUAGUUA